AGAGUUUGAUCCUGGCUCAGAACGAACGCUGGCGGCAGGCCUAACACAUGCAAGUCGAGCGAACUCUUCGGAGUUAGCGGCGGACGGGUGAGUAACGCGUGGGAAUAUGCCCUUUGGUACGGAAUAGCCUUUGGAAACGGAGAGUAAUACCGUAUGUGCCCUUCGGGGGAAAGAUUUAUCGCCAAAGGAUUAGCCCGCGUUGGAUUAGGUAGUUGGUGGGGUAACGGCCCACCAAGCCGACGAUCCGUAGCUGGUCUGAGAGGACGAUCAGCCACACUGGGACUGAGACACGGCCCAGACUCCUACGGGAGGCAGCAGUGGGGAAUAUUGGACAAUGGGGGCAACCCUGAUCCAGCAAUGCCGCGUGUGUGAAGAAGGCCUGCGGGUUGUAAAGCACUUUCAGUAGAGAAGAAAAGCCUACGGUUAAUACCCGUGAGUCUUGACGUUACCUACAGAAGAAGCUCCGGCUAACUCCGUGCCAGCAGCCGCGGUAAUACGGAGGGAGCGAGCGUUAAUCGGAAUUUACUGGGCGUAAAGCGCGCGUAGGCGGCUUUGUAAGUCGGAUGUGAAACCCCUGGGCUCACCCUGGGAAUGGCCUUCGAUACUGCUGAGCUAGAGUUUGGUACAGGGAAGUGGAAUUUUCCCGUGUAUCCGCGAAAAGCCUUUGUAUUUCGGUAAGGAACACCAUGGGCCUAAGGC
This 699-nucleotide ribosomal RNA is filed under the name uncultured bacterium. RNAcentral describes it as "bacterial SSU rRNA". It matches the Rfam family "Bacterial small subunit ribosomal RNA", at positions 8 to 722 of the family's 1533-position model. The record is from RNAcentral.